This 261-nucleotide unclassified non-coding RNA is filed under the name soil metagenome. RNAcentral describes it as "partial contains small subunit ribosomal RNA, internal transcribed spacer 1, and 5.8S ribosomal RNA". The record is from RNAcentral.
UUUCCGUAGGUGAACCUGCGGAAGGAUCAUUACCGAGUUAGGGUUCGCUUCUGGCGGCCCGACCUCCCUACCCUGUGUCUAAUUUACCUUUGUUGCUUCGGCGGACCGGUCGACCAACUGGUCUCGACCGCCGGGGUUCAUCCCUGGAGAGCGUCCGCCGACGGCCUAACCACAAACUCUUGUACCAAACCAUGUCGUCUGAAUUUUACUUGAUUAUAAUCAAAAAAAACAAAACUUUCAACAACGGAUCUCUUGGUUCUG